This is a non-coding RNA of Prunus mume (Japanese apricot), 281 nucleotides long. Lineage: Eukaryota; Viridiplantae; Streptophyta; Magnoliopsida; Rosales; Rosaceae. The record is from RefSeq and is a predicted model, not a curated record.
UAACAAUGAAUAUGGACAGCUUGGAACUGGAGAUACCCAGCGUAGAUCACAACCUAUUCCUGUCCAGGGUCUUUCUGGUCUUACUUUGAUUUUGGUUCGGCAGAUUUGGGAGCAUGUGAUGUAUUGGUGUGAAAAAUGUGCAUAGGCUUAAGGCAGAAGUGGGGCAUCUAUAGAGGUGAACUUAUGUGGCAGUUAGUUGGGCUUGCUGAUACAGACCUGGGUUUCCUUUGACACAUACCUUUAGCGAUAGAAACAUUUAAAACUGCAUGUAUGAUAUCUUG